Ipomoea nil (Japanese morning glory) is the source of this 2408-nucleotide RNA transcript. It is a transcript of the gene named APO protein 4, mitochondrial-like, with no coding region annotated. NCBI's taxonomy places the organism in Eukaryota, Viridiplantae, Streptophyta, Magnoliopsida, Solanales, Convolvulaceae. The record is from RefSeq and is a predicted model, not a curated record. The transcript has 4 exons.
UGUAUAUCUCAUAUUUAAGCAAAUCUGUUCAGUACUUAUUAGUCAGGUCUCAAAUGUUAUGUUUUUAUAUAAUACUCGAUAGCCCACAAUAAGCAUAAUUGAAUUGAAGUGUUUUAUUCUGUCAAGCUGAAAUUUUCUCUCUGCCCUGUGCGGUGUACUCUCUUGACUAAUCCAACAAUGCUAUAGUUAUUCACACUCGUUGGAAUGGCUUGGAGAAGCCAAGAGCUAUGGAGACAAGGUGAGAUUGUGUUGGGAACUAUGAUGGAUGGUUGUCGAUUCUACAGAACAAAACCUAAGGUGGUGGACUUGAAGAAGCUGAGACCGAUGAUUCUGAAGAGGAUUGAGAACCGAGCCAAGGAUUAUCCAGUGAAGGACAUGGUCCCUGUGGCUCGGGAGGUCCUCAAGGCCAAAGCUGCGCUCUAUCAUGGAGUAUCCACCCUACUCCAACAUUUACCUGUGUGGAUAUGCAAAUACUGUCCAGAAGUGUAUGUUGGAGAAAAUGGUCAUUUAAUUCGGACCUGUGGUGGUUAUAGGCACCGUACAAAGAAUCAACUUCAUGUAUGGAUCAAAGGAAGCUUGGAUAGUAUUCUAAUUCCUGUAGAAACGUUUCAUCUGCACAAUAUGUUUCAAAAUGUCAUCAAACACCAUGAAAGAUUUGAUUACAGUCGAAUUUCAGCUGUUGUAGAGUUGUGCUUACAGGCAGGUGCUAAUCCAAAUGAUGAAAGCAUAGACGCAAGCAAAAUGGAACAUGAAAGCAAUUCCAAAAUUGUGCUUCCAUUCGAUCAGCAAAUGCGGUUACUAGGGAACGAAACAUUAAAUGCAUGGGAAACACUUAGAUCUGGAGUGCAUAAGCUGCUGUUGGUUUAUCCAGUAAAGGUCUGCAAACACUGCUCAGAAGUUCAUGUGGGACCUUCUGGGCAUAAAGCUCGGCUUUGUGGGGUAUUUAAGUAUGAAAGUUGGCGUCGAAUUCACUUCUGGGAGAAGGCAAGCGUGGAUGAUUUGGUUCCUCCAAAUAUAGUUUGGCACAGGAGACCUCAAGAUCCUCCAUUGCUACUCGAUGAAGGCCGGAACUACUAUGGGCACGCUCCAGCUGUUGUUGAUCUGUGCACCAAGGCUGGUGCAAUUGCACCAUCCAAAUAUUUUUGCAUGAUGAAAGUUGAUGGUUUAUCAGCCCCUAUUUCGGACAAACCUUAAUGCCAUAUUGCCAUCAUCAUUUACUGGAGUCAUGUGGCGAGUUGGUUCGAAAUGUGCUAAAGAUCAUAUGUAUGGCCUUCAGAUUAUCCUGCAACACAAGGUCACUACCAAUAUAAUUAGCAUGAAGAACUACACAUUAUACACACGCACAAUGUAAUUUACUUGUGUGCUUUAAUGGCUGUUGAUGAUAUUCAAGAUGGCAAGGGAUUGGUUUCUGGGAAGCUUCUAUUGUCCUCCUCCGGGCUUCUCUCGGCUCUCAUCAGUACUCACAAGAAUUGGGUGUCCUGCUGAUAAAUUCUACUUUUAGAUUUGAAGAGUGCAAGGUAUAUAGAGCAAUGAGGGUGCCAGAUGUUUUUAGCAUAUAAGUAUUAUAUAUUUUUUUGAAAUUUGUUUCUAACCACCCCAGCAAAGAGUGACUAUCACCGUACACAAUGCUAUCCCAGCAGCUUCUAGCCAAUGGACAUCUCAUGAACAAAUGAAAGCAGAUUACAUAACUGACAUAAGGGUGGUACCUGAACACGCUUUGUCCUUAAAAGAUCAACAGUUGGGAGAGUGGCUGAACAAAGUUGCCUCCUCGGGGGUAGUCACACUUUUCAAAUCUGUUUCACAUCCUCUGGUAGAAAGAAAUCUUUCAGCAGAUCCAUCUCAUGUUCAGCAAGGCCUCCACUUUAGUGUCCCUUAGCCCUUAGGUAAUCUGCCAUGGGUGUUUGAACAAAAGGGAGAUCGUUAUUAGAAGCUCCAUCUCCUAUUCUCCAUCUAUACCCACUCUUCAGAACAUUCGGCACCUCAAGGAUGCUAUGCCAAAUAAAGGAUGGGUUUCCUCAUAAAUUAGCUUUAAAAAAAGAAUUUCUUGGAAAGUAUCUAGCUUUAUAAACUUUGGAUUAUCCUCCAUGCUUGUUUACCCAAUAAAGCCACAUUAAAAUCCCGAAUCCUUCUAUAACUCAUCCCACCCCAUUGUUUAGGAACACAUAGUGCUUCCCACCCUUUCCAUUUAAUGCCCCUACUCCUAUCACCCUCACAACCCCACCAAAAACCAUUCAUGGCCUGCUCAAUCUCUCUCCCCAUUUCCAAAGGAAUUAAGAAUACACUCAUAGCAUACGUUGGUAUGGCUUGGAUGACAUUUGUAAGAAGAAUUUCCCUCCCCGCUCUAGAAAUGAAUUUGUUUGUCCAACUUUUGAUUCUUCCCAACACUUUGUCCUUUAUAAAACCCAAUA